GUGGUAUUAUAUUUGAGUUCUCUA
This 24-nucleotide non-coding RNA is filed under the name Arabidopsis thaliana (thale cress). The record is from RNAcentral. Lineage: Eukaryota; Viridiplantae; Streptophyta; Magnoliopsida; Brassicales; Brassicaceae.